CCUACGGGAGGCAGCAGUGAGGAAUAUUGGUCAAUGGACGAGAGUCUGAACCAGCCAAGUAGCGUGAAGGAUGACUGCCCUAUGGGUUGUAAACUUCUUUUAUAUGGGAAUAAAACGUUCCACGUGUGGGAUUUUGUAUGUACCAUAUGAAUAAGGAUCGGCUAACUCCGUGCCAGCAGCCGCGGUAAUACGGAGGAUCCGAGCGUUAUCCGGAUUUAUUGGGUUUAAAGGGAGCGUAGGUGGAUUGUUAAGUCAGUUGUGAAAGUUUGCGGCUCAACCGUAAAAUUGCAGUUGAAACUGGCAGUCUUGAGUACAGUAGAGGUGGGCGGAAUUCGCGGUGUAGCGGUGAAAUGCUUAGAUAUCACGAAGAACUCCGAUUGCGAAGGCAGUUCACUGGACUGCAACUGACACUGAGGCUCGAAAGUGUGGGUAUCAAACAGGAUUAGAUACCCUAGUAGUC
RNAcentral lists this ribosomal RNA (460 nucleotides) under uncultured bacterium. RNAcentral describes it as "partial 16S ribosomal RNA". It matches the Rfam family "Bacterial small subunit ribosomal RNA", at positions 338 to 795 of the family's 1533-position model. The record is from RNAcentral.